This 372-nucleotide long non-coding RNA is filed under the name Cyanistes caeruleus (blue tit). RNAcentral's name for it is "lncRNA (ENSCCEG00000000152.1)". Lineage: Eukaryota; Metazoa; Chordata; Aves; Passeriformes; Paridae. The record is from RNAcentral.
CAAAGUUCAGCUGAGGCCUUUAACAGGAUGAAAAGGAAUGUCACAGAGACCUUUGCAGUUUUUCACAGGAAAUGCAAGAAUUUUAUUAUAAUCACUAGCCCAAAUAACAAAUAUAAUGAUGCAUUUGGAGCUGGAUUUUCACAAGGUCCCUCCUCUCAGUGGAAUUACAAAGAUGCAAGCAAACACCAAACGCAGGAAUUUAAAGACUAUUCAGUGCCAUAGCAGCAAAGAGUGGAAACCCUGAUGGUACUGUCAGAAAUCUAAUUGUUUCUUUCUGAAGGCUGCCAAUUUCUGCAAUAUUGAAACAGAGGUAUUGACAGCCCGGUAUUAUAAUGUAAUAAAUUUUGGGAUUGCACUCUGGGGUGAAGAGGA